RNAcentral lists this ribosomal RNA (458 nucleotides) under uncultured bacterium. Its description in RNAcentral is "partial 16S ribosomal RNA". It matches the Rfam family "Bacterial small subunit ribosomal RNA", at positions 338 to 795 of the family's 1533-position model. The record is from RNAcentral.
CCUACGGGUGACAGCAGUGAGGAAUAUUGGUCAAUGGGCGAGAGCCUGAACCAGCCAAGUCGCGUGAGGGAGUACUGCCCUAUGGGUUGUAAACCUCUUUUGUCGGGGAGCAAAAGCCGGACGUGUCCGGCUGUGAGAGUACCCGAAGAAAAAGCAUCGGCUAACUCCGUGCCAGCAGCCGCGGUUAUACGGAGGAUGCGAGCGUUAUCCGGAUUUAUUGGGUUUAAAGGGUGCGCAGGCGGAUUUUUAAGUCAGCGGUAAAAUCGUGGGGCUCAACCCCAUCCAGCCGUUGAAACUGGGGAUCUAGAGUGUGCGAGAGGUAUGCGGAAUGCGUGGUGUAGCGGUGAAAUGCAUAGAUAUCACGCAGAACCCCGAUUGCGAAGGCAGCAUACCGGUGCACAACUGACGCUCAGGCACGAAAGCGUGGGUAUCGAACAGGAUUAGAUACCCGGGUAGUC